AGUGAACGCUGGCGGUAGGCCUAACACAUGCAAGUCGAACGGCAGCACAGUAAGAGCUUGCUCUUACGGGUGGCGAGUGGCGGACGGGUGAGGAAUACAUCGGAAUCUACUUUUUCGUGGGGGCUAACGUAGGGAAACUUACGCUAAUACCGCAUACGACCUACGGGUGAAAGCAGGGGAUCUUCGGACCUUGCGCGAUUGAAUGAGCCGAUGUCGGAUUAGCUAGUUGGCGGGGUAAAGGCCCACCAAGGCGACGAUCCGUAGCUGGUCUGAGAGGAUGAUCAGCCACACUGGAACUGAGACACGGUCCAGACUCCUACGGGAGGCAGCAGUGGGGAAUAUUGGACAAUGGGCGGAAGCCUGAUCCAGCCAUACCGCGUUGGUGAAGAAGGCCUUCGGGUUGUAAAGCCCUUUUGUUGGGAAAGAAAAGCAGCAGGUUAAUACCCCGCUGUUCUGACGGUACCCAAAGAAUAAGCACCGGCUAACUUCGUG
This 492-nucleotide ribosomal RNA is filed under the name uncultured bacterium. Its description in RNAcentral is "partial 16S ribosomal RNA". It matches the Rfam family "Bacterial small subunit ribosomal RNA", at positions 29 to 507 of the family's 1533-position model. The record is from RNAcentral.